GGGCCCGUAGCUUAGCUUGGUGGAGCGCACGCCUUAUAAGCGUGAGGUCCUGGAUUCAAAUUCCGGCGGGCCCA
This 74-nucleotide transfer RNA is filed under the name Candidatus Undinarchaeales archaeon. RNAcentral's name for it is "tRNA-Ile". It matches the Rfam family "tRNA". Rfam says of the family: Transfer RNA (tRNA) molecules are approximately 80 nucleotides in length. Their secondary structure includes four short double-helical elements and three loops (D, anti-codon, and T loops). Lineage: Archaea; Nanobdellati; Candidatus Undinarchaeota; Candidatus Undinarchaeia; Candidatus Undinarchaeales. The record is from RNAcentral.